RNAcentral lists this ribosomal RNA (646 nucleotides) under Salmonella enterica subsp. enterica serovar Typhimurium. RNAcentral's name for it is "bacterial SSU rRNA". It matches the Rfam family "Bacterial small subunit ribosomal RNA", at positions 97 to 744 of the family's 1533-position model. The record is from RNAcentral. Lineage: Bacteria; Pseudomonadati; Pseudomonadota; Gammaproteobacteria; Enterobacterales; Enterobacteriaceae.
GGCGGACGGGUGAGUAACAUUUAGGAAUCUGCCUAGUAGUGGGGGAUAGCUCGGGGAAACUCGAAUUAAUACCGCAUACGACCUACGGGUGAAAGGGGGCGCAAGCUCUUGCUAUUAGAUGAGCCUAAAUCAGAUUAGCUAGUUGGUGGGGUAAAGGCCCACCAAGGCGACGAUCUGUAACUGGUCUGAGAGGAUGAUCAGUCACACCGGAACUGAGACACGGUCCGGACUCCUACGGGAGGCAGCAGUGGGGAAUAUUGGACAAUGGGGGCAACCCUGAUCCAGCCAUGCCGCGUGUGUGAAGAAGGCCUUUUGGUUGUAAAGCACUUUAAGCAGGGAGGAGAGGCUAAUGGUUAAUACCCAUUAGAUUAGACGUUACCUGCAGAAUAAGCACCGGCUAACUCUGUGCCAGCAGCCGCGGUAAUACAGAGGGUGCGAGCGUUAAUCGGAAUUACUGGGCGUAAAGCGAGUGUAGGUGGCUCAUUAAGUCACAUGUGAAAUCCCCGGGCUUAACCUGGGAACUGCAUGUGAUACUGGUGGUGCUAGAAUAUGUGAGAGGGAAGUAGAAUUCCAGGUGUAGCGGUGAAAUGCGUAGAGAUCUGGAGGAAUACCGAUGGCGAAGGCAGCUUCCUGGCAUAAUAUUGAC